GANAUUGGUCAAUGGACGCAAGUCUGACCAGCCAUGCCGCGUGCAGGAUGAAGGCCCUCUGGGUCGUAAACUGCUUUUAUCUAUGAAGAAAUCACCUGUUUCUACGGGUGUUGACGGUAAUAGAGGAAUAAGCACCGGCUAACUCCGUGCCAGCAGCCGCGGUAAUACNGGAGGGUGCAAGCGUUAUCCGGAUUUACUGGGUUUAAAGGGUGCGUAGGCGGGUUGGUAAGUCAGUGGUGAAAGCCCCGGGCCUAACUCGGGAACUGCCAUUGAUACUAUCAAUCUUGAAUUCAGUUGAGGUGGGCGGAAUGUGUCGUGUAGCGGUGAAAUGCUUAGAUAUGACACAGAACACCAAUUGCGAAGGCAGCUCGCUAAACUGACAUUGACGCUGAGGCACGAAAGCGUGGGGAUCAAACAGGAUUAGAUACCCUGGUAGUCCACGCCCUAAACGAUGAUUACUCGACAUUAGCGAUAUACUGUUAGUGUCUAUGCAAAAGCAUUAAGUAAUCCACCUGGGGAGUACGGCCGCAAGGCUGAAACUCAAAGAAAUUGACGGA
Molecule: ribosomal RNA, 557 nt
Filed under: uncultured bacterium
Lineage: Bacteria
Description: bacterial SSU rRNA
Rfam family: Bacterial small subunit ribosomal RNA
Source: RNAcentral